Molecule: transfer RNA, 124 nt
Rfam family: tRNA
About the family: Transfer RNA (tRNA) molecules are approximately 80 nucleotides in length. Their secondary structure includes four short double-helical elements and three loops (D, anti-codon, and T loops).
GUCCGUGUAGAGUAGUGGUCAUCUCGCCAGAAUCACACACACUCACCGUUCUUCCUCUAGCCGAGGAAGAGCAGUGAGUGAGGGGGACCUCUGGAUAUCGUCGGUUCGAACCCGACCGCGGGCA